CCUGGGGAGUACGGCCGCAAGGUUAAAACUCAAAUGAAUUGACGGGGGCCCGCACAAGCGGUGGAGCAUGUGGUUUAAUUCGAUGCAACGCGAAGAACCUUACCUGGUCUUGACAUCCACAGAACUUUCCAGAGAUGGAUUGGUGCCUUCGGGAACUGUGAGACAGGUGCUGCAUGGCUGUCGUCAGCUCGUGUUGUGAAAUGUUGGGUUAAGUCCCGCAACGAGCGCAACCCUUAUCCUUUGUUGCCAGCGGUCCGGCCGGGAACUCAAAGGAGACUGCCAGUGAUAAACUGGAGGAAGGUGGGGAUGACGUCAAGUCAUCAUGGCCCUUACGACCAGGGCUACACACGUGCUACAAUGGCAUAUACAAAGAGAAGCGACCUCGCGAGAGCAAGCGGACCUCAUAAAGUAUGUCGUAGUCCGGAUUGGAGUCUGCAACUCGACUCCAUGAAGUCGGAAUCGCUAGUAAUCGUAGAUCAGAAUGCUACGGUGAAUACGUUCCCGGGCCUUGUACACACCGCCCGUCACACCAUGGGAGUGGGUUGCAAAAGAAGUAGGUAGCUUAACCUUCGGGAGGGCGCUUACCACUUUGUGAUUCAUGACUGGGGUGAAGUCGUAACAAGGUAACCGUAGGGGAACCUGCGGUUGGAUCACCUCCUUA
This 661-nucleotide ribosomal RNA is filed under the name Pseudomonas aeruginosa. RNAcentral's name for it is "bacterial SSU rRNA". It matches the Rfam family "Bacterial small subunit ribosomal RNA", at positions 872 to 1533 of the family's 1533-position model. RNAcentral also lists the same sequence under 2 other names. The record is from RNAcentral. Lineage: Bacteria; Pseudomonadati; Pseudomonadota; Gammaproteobacteria; Pseudomonadales; Pseudomonadaceae.